This 811-nucleotide long non-coding RNA is filed under the name Olea europaea (common olive). Its description in RNAcentral is "long non-coding RNA (OEUR_LNC015478)". The record is from RNAcentral. Lineage: Eukaryota; Viridiplantae; Streptophyta; Magnoliopsida; Lamiales; Oleaceae.
CAAAAUGUCAUUUUUGUUGUAGUAGUUCAUCAUUAAAUUCCCAGAAAAUAUAAAUUCAUUUGCGAAGAAAGUGAGAAUAUUGUCAAAAGGAUAAAUAUUUUACAAAGUAACAAUAAAAUAUUGAACAUGAUCACCACAAGCAAGCUAAAGAAAACACAAGAAAAUUAUAUUGAACUCUUUAAAACACGACUGCCACUAAAUCGUGUAACACUGCAUCACCCGCUAUGGUCAUGAUAAGAGAGCACUCUAAUGUUUCUACUCAAUUUUGACAAGCAAAACGAGGAAUACUCGGAAACUCCACCUCGAUAAACCUCCUCCUUUUGGUCAUACCAACAAAAUAGCUUUAUUUUUAUUCUAGCUCAUCCUGACAUACAAGACAAAGAAACAAAAUUUAAUGUAUCAAAGUCUAUAUAAUUGUUGACACUAAUCAUCAAUGAAUGCUACCAAUUUAAACUUGUACAGACACAAAGUAUUAGUAAUUAUUACUUUUAUACAUGUUUAUCACAAUAGAGAGAGAUAUAUACUUGACGCAUGCUUGUGCAAAAUAAUCCUAACAUCUUGAAUUAUGAAUCACUUUGGUUCGAAAACUCGUAUCAAAGUCUAUAGUAUUGUUGACACUCAUCAUCAAUGAAUGCUACCAAUUUAAACUUGUACAGACACAAAGUAUUAGUAAUUAUUACUUUUAUAGACGUUUAUCACAAUAGAGAGAGAUAUAUACUUGACGCAUACUUGUGCGAAAUAAUCCUAACAUCUUGAAUUAUGAAUCACUUUGGUUCGAAAACUCUUAUCCCAUAUAUUAAAUUUGGUAAGC